GCCCGCGGGCCGUAGUUUGCCCACGGCUGCUCUAUCUGCUGAGCCAAAACAGCUAGGACUGAAUGGACUAUUUUAUAAUUGUUUUCCAGCUUUGCUAUUACAAAGAAUGCUCAGAUGUGUGUGUGUGUGUGUGUGUGUGUGUCAGGCUCAGCUUCAUUUACAAAUCUUCAGUGUUGCUUUCUUUAGUCCUGACCAUGAUCUCUUCUUUCCUUGGUCAGAAUAGUAAAUGGAAAGUGUAGCUUUGCAAACUAGGUUGAUGGUUUCUGCCCCGAGAGCAAGUUUUAGGAAGAUGCUUUUUGGCAACCAGACUGUCCCUGAGGGAUUAGACUUGUGCCUGAGGGAUUAGACCACUGGUUGGGUACACGCUCCACAGAAUCGCUCAGUAAAUGUUCAUCAGGCUCCGCACUAAGCUCUUUAUGCACAUUUAGCCCUUGAGACUUGCGGUAGGUCUCACCCUUAUUUUACAGCUGAUGAAAGGGGCCUGGAAAACAUCUGUGUUUCACAAUACGUGCUAGCAGAGAGACAGUCUUUGGGGCUGGCUGGAGGGCCUUGUGCGGCUUUAUUUGAGGAAGGUGGCCGGGGCUAUACUAACAGGAACCUGGUGCUAUGCCCUGAACUGAGGUCCUGGAGGAGGCCCUCUGAGUUUUAAUACUGGCUUCCUCUCCUGGAGCCAUAUAACCUCAGAGCCGGACCGUCUGCUCUGGGGUGAAAUGGAGAAUAGUAAGCCUCCAACAUUUCCCCUGUGGCUCAGGAAAGGAGGGGGCGGGUAGGGGAUGAGUUGUUUUUAAAUCAAAGUUGUGUGCAUAUUAAGGAGUCAGGUGGUUCAAUAAGGCUUGUAACAACAAUGGAUCUGCCAUCCCUGCUCUUUCCUUUCCUAAGGCACCGCUUUCAACCCUGGUUCCUCUGUGUCUCAGUGGUGGUAAGCCUUCCCUUCUGCAUGCACAGACCCUAACCUCACACCAUCACUGUAUUACUGGGUCUUAAUUUUGGUAAGAUCAGUAUUCUGAGCAUUUGAAAGGUAGUGCUGAGCUGCUGAGUCAUACAGUGACUCCACUGUGAUCACUUCCUGACAUUUUGUUGUCCUGUUCUUGUCACUAAUUGAUCUCAAAACUCCCAGUUGUCUGAUUUUGUCUUGGGACCAUCAAAAGCGACAGGCAUGGUCUCUCUCCAUCGUGGAAGGAAGCCUUACUCAGCUUCUCAUCUCAUCUGGACAAGUUGUAUAUCUGUCCUAAAAUCUUCCUCAUCCUUCUGGGCAUUUCUUUUACCUCCUUUGUUAAAUUUCCCAUUUCCCGUAGCCCAUUUUUCAUUUUUUUUUUCUUUUGGCUUAUUCCCUUGCUUUUGUGGAGAAUGCCCUCUAGCAGCUUCCUGAGAAAGAGCUGGGGAGGAGUUUGUUGAGACCUUGUGUGUCUGCACGUGUGUUUAUUCUGUCUUUACAUUUAAUUGGUAAUUUGAGUAUAGAGUUUAGGUUCGAAAUAAUCCCCCUUCAGAGAAUUGACGGCACUGCAUUGGUGGAAGUCUGAACCCUUUCUGAUUACUUGGUGCGUGUGCCCCGCCUUCCUUGCCGGAAGCUUGUUGGGGUAUUUACUGCUUAGUGUGGCUAACUUGACAGUGCAGGGAUGGUUUAUUUGUCAGUGGACUGAGCACUCACUCCUGCGAAGCCCAGAAAUUCACAUCCUUCAGUUCUAGGAACUUCCUGAAUUACUGUGAUAUCCUCUACACCUUUUUCUUUUUUCUCCUAAGCUAUUGAACGAGUCCUCUAAUUUCUCAUUUUUUUGCUCAAUACAUUCUUACUUCUCUGACCUUGUCCUUUAUGUUCUAUUUCAUGGAUGCGAUCAGUACCUUUUUCUUAAAUAUUAAGGAUAAUUUUAAUUUGUUAACAUAGUUCCCAUUUUUGGCUCUGGCUUUUGCUCUGGUCUGUGUCCUGCCAAGGCUUUCCUUGGCUGCCGGGUGCUCUUUGAUCUCAUAUUUAAGAGCAGAAUGAAGUGCUGGUGGGAAGCUCAGUGCACAGGCGGUGCUGGUGGGACUGUGGCGCCUUUGUCACAGGCAGUGCUUUUCCACUAGUUGUGAUUUUGUGGCAAUAUGUCAAAUUAUUGGCAAUAUUGAGACUUCUGGUUGUCACAGUUGGGGGAUGUUACUGGCCUGAGAAAUCUUGCUAUGGACACCCUACAGUGUACAGGGGCCCCACACAAAGACUUAACCCAGACUAAAAUGUCGAAAGUGUUGAGGUGGAGAAACCCUGGGUGAGGUGAUCCCAGAGAAGAGCCAGGUCUUGGUGUGACUCAAAUCUGUGGGGCUGGCUGGGAAGAGGUCACUGUUCAACUGCAAAAGUAGGUUUACAGCUCACCGGUAGUUCCUGCUUUGUGGCUUCUACAUGCACGGAUUCUAUACCACCGUUUGGGUAAAUAACCCAGUCUCCCAGCAACGUGGUUCAAAUUUCAGUUGCUGUGGCACAUGUACUAACUCGAAUGCUAGCUCUCCAGGCCAGAAAGCACACCUAGAGCCGAGGCGCAUCGGCACCAGUGACCUGCCCAGGUCCCCCCCUCACCAGUGGGUGGCUGCUUGCUGCGCAUCUGUUACUCUGCUCACUCAAGAUGACAGAGCUCUUGGCGUCGUCUCCUGUUCUCCCAGCGGUGGAGAGGGCUGCAGAGAUAGUGCUUUUAGUGCCCCUGAUGGGUUAGCUCCUCAUUCUCUUAGGGACUUGGACAAAAGUAUCAAAACGUGCUUUUUUACCAUCAAACACAGCUCUCAUCAAUUCGGCCAGUGGAAAAAGAGGUUAUUUCCACUUCUCAUGGACUUCUGGACAGGCUGUUGCUGCUACGACUGGAGAUUUUACAAUGUCUUUAGCUGAGGUUUGGAAGAAAUUGAAAGCAUCGUAGCAAAAAGUGACAGAAAUGCACAGUGUGGCAGAAUUCAAACUGAACAUAAACUGGCUUGUAUUUGACCGUGGAAAGGCUGGUGCUGCUGCUGUGAGGAAGUUGGUGAAGGUGACCUUGUCAACAUGAGGGAGGAAAGGGUGCAGAUGUCUCAGAGGAAGUGACUGAUGGGACUUCACACGCAGGGCCUUCUCAGAGGUGGUUCACGGCAGUGAGAAAAGGUCUGAUGGGGGAAGCCCAUCCCAAAACACUUCUACCCCAAUAUUUCUAAUGAUUUAAAUCAGUGGACUAAGUAAAUAGUAGCUUAACUAUUUUUUUAUUUCCAUAUACAUUUAUAACUGUCAUUUAAUGUUUUGAGAAAAAAAUUUUAAAGCUCAUGGGACAACCAUCUUACCUGUUGGUUAUUAGACCACCUUGCAUGGUCACAUUUGUGGACCCACAGCUACUGUGCAGAGCGAGGGCGGCCUUUGUGUUACUUGCCCUCAGCUCUGCCCACUGUUUCCCAACCCAUGGGCCCUCCAUGGUGCCCUUUAUAAAAUAAACGUCCAGUCUGAUGCCACGCGGAAGACCAUGCCUGACCGCAGCGUGGGGCACAGGCGUGGUGAUUUCAAAUAUACAUGAAAAUAGAAGAGUAUAAUGAACCGCGGUACCAGGUGCCCUCCAUCCAGCUCCAACAACAGUCAGCAUUCUGCUCUCGCAUCUGCUUCUCCCUCUCACAAACGUUUUUUACCGGAGUAUUUUAAACCAAAUGUCUUCUGACCUGUAUAUUACUUGAGGCUAUGUCUAAAGGUGAUGUUUUUAAAUGUCACCACAGGUGCCCCGACUGCUUCCUAGACUCUGAGUGACAGCCUUUCAGGGGCCACCUUAGCCUCGGCCGUCUCAGGUCGGUCCCUUGUCCCCAUGUGCUAUCCCGCUGCCACAGUUCAGUGGUUUUGUCUCCUAGCCCGAUGACUGUGAUACCGUUGUAAUGAACUAGUUACUAAUAAUAGAAAAGAAACAAAGGGAAGACUAGACAUAGACAUGGUCCCUGCAAACCACGGGGAGGGAAACACACGGAAUGUAGGGGCAUCCCCAGGAAAGUUGAGAUGACAAAGGCAAUACGACUUGCUUGUCAGUCACACCUGGGAACAGAGGUCAUUGGCCAGAGUGGGUGUGAGAUAUAUAAUUUCCUAAACAAAUUCACUCUCUUGGUUCCUCUUGGCAUGCUUGGCUCAUGGCUCAUGGCUCAUGGCUCAUGCUCGGCUACCUGGCAUUCUCCCGUGUGGCCCAUGACCACGCGGACCCCACACACAAUGGACUAAUGGACUGCAGCUAGCCUUUGCUGUCCUGGACCCAGCGCAACAUGGAAUGGAAACUGAACACUGACUUUGCUUCUAGCUUUACUGAAACCCAGAUUAUACUUCUAUAACUGGAAAUAAAGCUUUCUACCAUACCUCA
Molecule: long non-coding RNA, 4310 nt
Organism: Myotis lucifugus (little brown bat)
Lineage: Eukaryota; Metazoa; Chordata; Mammalia; Chiroptera; Vespertilionidae
Exons: 2
Source: RefSeq, a predicted model, not a curated record